AUUGAACGCUGGCGGCAUGCUUUACACAUGCAAGUCGGACGGCAGCACAGAGAAGCUUGCUUCUUGGGUGGCGAGUGGCGAACGGGUGAGUAACAUAUCGGAACGUACCGAGUAAUGGGGGAUAACUAAUCGAAAGAUUAGCUAAUACCGCAUAUUCUCUGAGGAGGAAAGCAGGGGACCUUCGGGCCUUGCGUUAUUCGAGCGGCCGAUAUCUGAUUAGCUAGUUGGUGGGGUAAAGGCCUACCAAGGCGACGAUCAGUAGCGGGUCUGAGAGGAUGAUCCGCCACACUGGGACUGAGACACGGCCCAGACUCCUACGGGAGGCAGCAGUGGGGAAUUUUGGACAAUGGGCGCAAGCCUGAUCCAGCCAUGCCGCGUGUCUGAAGAAGGCCUUCGGGUUGUAAAGGACUUUUGUCAGGGAAGAAAAGGCUGUUGCUAAUACCGACAGCUGAUGACGGUACCUGAAGAAUAAGCACCGGCUAACUACGUGCCAGCAGCCGCGGUAAUACGUAGGGUGCGAGCGUUAAUCGGAAUUACUGGGCGUAAAGCGAGCGCAGACGGUUACUUAAGCAGGAUGUGGAAUCCCCGGGCUCAACCUGGGAACUGCGUUCUGAAACUGGGUGACUAGAGUGUGUCAGAGGGAGGUAGAAUUCCACGUGUAGCAGUGAAAUGCGUAGAGAUGUGGAGGAAUACCGAUGGCGAAGGCAGCCUCCUGGGAUA
RNAcentral lists this ribosomal RNA (720 nucleotides) under Neisseria subflava. RNAcentral's name for it is "bacterial SSU rRNA". It matches the Rfam family "Bacterial small subunit ribosomal RNA", at positions 28 to 736 of the family's 1533-position model. Lineage: Bacteria; Pseudomonadati; Pseudomonadota; Betaproteobacteria; Neisseriales; Neisseriaceae. The record is from RNAcentral.